Molecule: ribosomal RNA, 230 nt
Filed under: uncultured bacterium
Lineage: Bacteria
Description: partial 16S ribosomal RNA
Rfam family: Bacterial small subunit ribosomal RNA
Source: RNAcentral
AAGACGUGCGCAGACGGUUUGGUUAGACUGUCGUGAAUACCUCGGGCUCAACCUGGGAAUGGCGAUGGUGACUGCAAGGCUAGAGUUUGGCAGAGGGGGGUAGAAUUCCACGUGUAGCAGUGAAAUGCGUAGAUAUGUGGAGGAACACCGAUGGCGAAGGCAGCCCCCUGGGUCAAAACUGACGCUCAUGCACGAAAGCGUGGGGAGCAAACAGGAUUAGAUACCCUAGU